UGGAGGUGUGCCCCACUUUGCGCCCACCU
This 29-nucleotide small RNA is filed under the name Bombyx mori (domestic silkworm). RNAcentral describes it as "ovarian small RNA-34617". The record is from RNAcentral. Lineage: Eukaryota; Metazoa; Arthropoda; Insecta; Lepidoptera; Bombycidae.